Molecule: non-coding RNA, 746 nt
Organism: Cucurbita pepo subsp. pepo (vegetable marrow)
Lineage: Eukaryota; Viridiplantae; Streptophyta; Magnoliopsida; Cucurbitales; Cucurbitaceae
Source: RefSeq, a predicted model, not a curated record
UGUAUUCGUCGCAUCCAAACACCCUUCGCUGAUGCCAAAAUUUCUAAACCAAUUUCUUAUCCACCAGCUGUCAAGGAUUUGAAUUUGGCCCAGCCGCGAUCUGCUGCUCAACGUUUAACCACUUCCGCCUUAUCUUCUCCGAUUCGUUCGUUUACGCUGCCAUGGCGGCGCCUUUCUCCCUCCGCCACCACUGUCCGCUCCGUCCUACGCCUCCCUAAGUCCUUUCUUUCAAACCGAGCACUUGAAUGUGGACGAUAAAGCCAGUACCACACUUUUUCAUUGGCUUUAAUGCUUAAGAUGCUACUGAUCUGUUAGGAUCGCACAACAACACGCACACUCGAUCAACAUGAACACAAAAGAACAGGAGAGAAACUUCAAUGAGGAAUAUUGGUUAAAGAUUUUAUGGAUGAUUUCAGGUGGCAAUGAGAAAUAUAAGAAGCGAUGCUUUGAAAGCGUAUGAAAAACUGGAAAAGGUGAAAAAACUUUGGGAAGAUAAUGUGAGAGACUUGUCAAGUGAUGUGCAGAAUCUGACUCUGAUGACUACAUGAAGGUUGAUGGCAUAUACAAACAGAAAGAGAGGAGCUGUUGAAGCUGUGAGACCACGUGCGUUGCGCUCAAAAGGCAUGAUUUUCAGUAUGUUGUGACUUGGAACAAACGAUAGAUUACUCUGUAGAGAAAGAGAAAUAACAAUUUUUUCCGAAACAUCAAUAGAUUGAAAUAAAAAGAAGAAAUUUGCUUGUCUGAAA